Molecule: unclassified non-coding RNA, 450 nt
Filed under: Hevea brasiliensis (rubber tree)
Lineage: Eukaryota; Viridiplantae; Streptophyta; Magnoliopsida; Malpighiales; Euphorbiaceae
Source: RNAcentral
UUCCCAGGUGGCUUUGAGAAGUUAAAUGUAAUCCUCAAGUUGCUGCUUUCAAAUGCAACUAUAGAUGGAUAAACUUGGCCAUUAUCCUCAUGCUUUAAUGGGCUAGGGGCAAAGCCAUCCAACAAAUCUUAUCAUGGAAGAAGCUCCAACAGAAGAAUUGGCUUGUGCUGAAGCUAAAGGUGAUGAGAGUACAUCUAAUGCGGCAAUUGGUUUUUGGUUAUCUUGACCAGGUGAUAAUAUGUCAAGUGCAGAUGAAUUGCUUUGUACAGGAUUAGUUGUUCCAAUGGACAGAAGAUCAAGUAGAACAUCUGUGCCAGAUUUGGGAGCCUGGCUUAUGCCUGGUUGUGUGGACGCUGGUGCUAAAUCAACACCAAGAAGAUCAUGAAGAAAGUCGCUGCCUGAAGAGCCUGGUGCAGGAGCGUCAUCUGAAAGAUCAAGUAAAUCUACAAG